GAUGAACGCUGGCGGCGUGCCUAAUACAUGCAAGUCGAGCGAACAGACGAGGAGCUUGCUCCCCUGACGUUAGCGGCGGACGGGUGAGUAACACGUGGAUAACCUACCUAUAAGACUGGGAUAACUUCGGGAAACCGGAGCUAAUACCGGAUAAUAUAUUGAACCGCAUGGUUCAAUAGUGAAAGACGGUUUUGCUGUCACUUAUAGAUGGAUCCGCGCCGCAUUAGCUAGUUGGUAAGGUAACGGCUUACCAAGGCAACGAUGCGUAGCCGACCUGAGAGGGUGAUCGGCCACACUGGAACUGAGACACGGUCCAGACUCCUACGGGAGGCAGCAGUAGGGAAUCUUCCGCAAUGGGCGAAAGCCUGACGGAGCAACGCCGCGAGAGUGAUGAAGGUCUUCGGAUCGUAAAACUCUGUUAUUAGGGAAGAACAAAUGUGUAAGUAACUAUGCACGUCUUGACGGUACCUAAUCAGAAAGCCACGGCUAACUACGUG
RNAcentral lists this ribosomal RNA (497 nucleotides) under uncultured bacterium. RNAcentral describes it as "partial 16S ribosomal RNA". It matches the Rfam family "Bacterial small subunit ribosomal RNA", at positions 28 to 507 of the family's 1533-position model. The record is from RNAcentral.